UACGUAGGGGGCUAGCGUUGUCCGGAAUCAUUGGGCGUAAAGCGCGUGUAGGCGGUCCGGUAAGUCCGCUGUGAAAGUCGAGGGCUCAACCCUCGAAUGCCGGUGGAUACUGUCGGGCUUGAGUACGGGAGAGGCGAGUGGAAUUCCUGGUGUAGCGGUGAAAUGCGCAGAUAUCAGGAAGAACACCCGUGGCGAAGGCGGCUCUCUGGGACGGUACUGACGCUGAGACGCGAAAGCGUGGGGAGCGAACAGG
This 253-nucleotide ribosomal RNA is filed under the name uncultured bacterium. RNAcentral describes it as "partial 16S ribosomal RNA". It matches the Rfam family "Bacterial small subunit ribosomal RNA", at positions 524 to 776 of the family's 1533-position model. The record is from RNAcentral.